RNAcentral lists this ribosomal RNA (253 nucleotides) under uncultured bacterium. RNAcentral describes it as "partial 16S ribosomal RNA". It matches the Rfam family "Bacterial small subunit ribosomal RNA", at positions 524 to 776 of the family's 1533-position model. The record is from RNAcentral.
UACGUAGGGGGCAAGCGUUGUCCGGAUUUAUUGGGCGUAAAGCGCUCGCAGGUGGUUCGUCGCGUCGUGCGUGAAAGACCCCGGCUCAACUGGGGGAGGUCGUGCGAUACGGGCGAACUGGAGGCCAGUAGGGGGAUGCGGAAUUCCGGGUGUAGUGGUGGAAUGCGUAGAGAUCCGGAGGAACACCAGCGGCGAAGGCGGCAUCCUGGACUGGGCCUGACACUCAUGAGCGAAAGCGUGGGGAGCGAUCCGG